UANGGANUCUUCCGCAAUGGACGCAAGUCUGACGGAGCAACGCCNCGUGAGUGAAGAAGGUUUUCGGAUCGUAAAACUCUGUUGUUAGAGAAGAACAAGUGCUAGAGUAACUGUUAGCGCCUUGACGGUAUCUAACCAGAAAGCCACGGCUAACUACGUGCCAGCAGCCGCGGUAAUACGUAGGUGGCAAGCGUUGUCCGGAUUUAUUGGGCGUAAAGCGAGCGCAGGCGGUUCCUUAAGUCUGAUGUGAAAGCCCCCGGCUCAACCGGGGAGGGUCAUUGGAAACUGGGGAACUUGAGUGCAGAAGAGGAGAGUGGAAUUCCAUGUGUAGCGGUGAAAUGCGUAGAUAUAUGGAGGAACACCAGUGGCGAAGGCGACUCUCUGGUCUGUAACUGACGCUGAGGCUCGAAAGCGUGGGUAGCAAACAGGAUUAGAUACCCUGGUAGUCCACGCCGUAAACGAUGAGUGUUAAGUGUUGGAGGGUUUCCGCCCUUCAGUGCUGCAGUUAACGCAUUAAGCACUCCGCCUGGGGAGUACGACCGCAAGGUUG
Molecule: ribosomal RNA, 550 nt
Filed under: uncultured bacterium
Lineage: Bacteria
Description: bacterial SSU rRNA
Rfam family: Bacterial small subunit ribosomal RNA
Source: RNAcentral